CGCUCAUUGCCGGCUAAAACUAAUGCCGGCUUGUUUAUUUUAUUGCGCCAUGGCAUUUACUUAUUGUGAGCGCCACCGCAACAAAACUUCGAAAUUAGCAAGUUUAUCGCAGAAAAUUUCGAUGUGCGGGAUUUCGGUUCUUGCCAAUCUAUUUUCUUUUACCUACAUAAAAAUGGAACUAUGAAAAAUCUUCGUUUUUCUGUGAAAACUCAUGUGUGGACCUGAGGAACUAAUCAGAUUACCCUCGGGACGCAUAUUCAAUGUUUUUGGUGUCUCAUUGACUUGGUGGUGUCUCAAUUACCAUGUGGUGUCUCAGCUAUCACCGUUAAUGCAGGUAUACGUGUAUAUGUACCCACGCUUCAUUCAAUGAAGCGCUGUCGGCGCCACAUAAUCUGCAUCAUCUUGUGUGUGUGUGUGCCCAUUUGUCUUCUUCUCAUUCACACACAUACUUGCUUGCAUUACUCUACUCCGAUUAGAGUUUCGUUAACGCAGCAUGUGUGCAUUCACCACAUGCAUACCAUUGAACCUACGGACGAUGGUCGUUUCAUUCACACACAUACCUGCUUACAUUACUCUACUACAAUUAGAGUUUCGUAAACGCAACAUGUAUGUAUUCAAUGAAUGAACGGUUUUUGGCGAACGCAUUUGACUGAGGUUAUGAAUGGAUUUCAUCUACUAUCAACGCAUUAUUUGAAUCAAUUGGGACAUUGGAAAACAAGUGAACACAAAAAGCAUACUGCUCAUCACGGUAUACCAUAGGGGCACACAGGUAUUUUCCGUUCGAGGUCAUAUUGGACGCAAACAUGUCAUUUAUGGUUCUUGUUACUUUGUGCCCAAAUUAUCUGCACAGCUUGGACCGAUAACUCAAUGAGGUGACGUACAGGUACCCCAACGAUACGCCACGAACCUUUCAACAUAGAUCACAUCUCCUGAUGCAGAUAUUUAUGAUCGCUUUAUAAGGGUAUCAUUUUGGAUUUCCCAGAUGGAUGCAGUAUACCAUUUAAUUUUGGAAUAUAAAUUUAAUAGAGGAAUACAAAUUUAUAUAUCCUUUUUGCCUGAUAUUUGGGAUAGGUAUUUUUUUGUUUGGUAACAGCAGUAUAUGGACAGUUAACGGCGUCACCCCCUUGGAGUAGGAACAUACCUUGCGAAAAACAGCGCAAUAUUUUUAUACCUGAGGAUUGUCAACUAUUUCUCAUUCUUGAAACACAUCGUGGAAAAAGUUUUACCAACCCAAAUAGAUGUUUAACGGUCGCCUCACACCCGUCGAUAAAGCGCUACGGUGCCGGUUCCACUUAACAUGAGGUAACUAUUAAAAAAUUUUUUUUUUUUUAUCUUCGUUACCUGGUUGGCCAGAUACUUAAUUGGCUUGUGGGAACUUAUGUCGGCGGAAAUUAUAUGGCUCUUUUCUGGCACAACGGACACUGUCGCAUCAAUCUGCUGGCUUUCUGCAACUUAGAUGUCGAAACAAAUUUUUCUAUGGCAUAUGGCUGGUUUAAACAAGGCGACCUUCCGCGUAAACCGUUGGAAGGCCUCGCAAUGGCUCGCAAUCUGAUGGAAUCUUAAAUGGAAGGGACACAACACUUGUUACGACCAACAUUAGACAACACCACAAUUUAAACUUACAUCUAUGAUUUUUAUUCAUCCAAUAUAAAAAUAAAUGCAAGGCACGCAGCCGUAUAAACCCGUCAAUAAAACUUAAUUUUGUACCGUUGUUAAAUGCCGACUUUUUCCAAAUUGUCGAUUUUGGCAAACGAAAUAAAAA
Musca domestica (house fly) is the source of this 1762-nucleotide long non-coding RNA. RefSeq lists it as uncharacterized. The transcript has 6 exons. The record is from RefSeq and is a predicted model, not a curated record. NCBI's taxonomy places the organism in Eukaryota, Metazoa, Arthropoda, Insecta, Diptera, Muscidae.